RNAcentral lists this ribosomal RNA (253 nucleotides) under uncultured bacterium. Its description in RNAcentral is "partial 16S ribosomal RNA". It matches the Rfam family "Bacterial small subunit ribosomal RNA", at positions 524 to 776 of the family's 1533-position model. The record is from RNAcentral.
UACGUAGGGUGCGAGCGUUAAUCGGAAUUACUGGGCGUAAAGCGUGCGCAGGCGGUUUUGUAAGUCAGAUGUGAAAUCCCCGGGCUUAACCUGGGAAAUGCGUUUGAAACUACAAGGCUAGAGUGUGGCAGAGGGGGGUGGAAUUCCACGUGUAGCAGUGAAAUGCGUAGAGAUGUGGAGGAACACCGAUGGCGAAGGCAGCCCCCUGGGUUAACACUGACGCUCAGGCACGAAAGCGUGGGGAGCAAACAGG